This 329-nucleotide long non-coding RNA is filed under the name Androctonus crassicauda. Lineage: Eukaryota; Metazoa; Arthropoda; Arachnida; Scorpiones; Buthidae. The record is from RNAcentral.
AUUCCGAAUGUGCGGAAUUUCAGAAAAUGGAGUGGUGGUUUGGAUGGAAGACUUAAACUACUGUCUGAAAGCGAUCCUGGCAGGCACUGGUACAAUUCAAGAAACUGAGGGAACGGUUGUUAAAGAAGUGAUAAGUCUGAUGAAAGUCUUGAGACUGAAGUGCCAGUUACUGACAGUGAGUUUUGUGACAGUGAUCAGUCUGAAGGAAGUGCCUGUAGUGAAGAGAUGUGAAAAAUAGAGACUGAUAUUCAGCAAUACAAAACUUGGAUCCACUGAUAAAGUGCCAUAUACAGUAGAUAAGAUCUGAAAAUUACUGUUUGUAUUGCCAA